This 568-nucleotide long non-coding RNA is filed under the name Homo sapiens (human). RNAcentral's name for it is "non-protein coding lnc-SPG7-3:1". Lineage: Eukaryota; Metazoa; Chordata; Mammalia; Primates; Hominidae. The record is from RNAcentral.
CCACUGGUCCUGUGGUUCCUCAGGGGUCCUGGCACUGGCAAGGGGACGCAGCAAACCCACACCGUCGUGACCCUGGUCACAUACACCUGUCUUCAGGAAAACUUCUCUGUGAUGAAAGAACCCAGAUUCACAGUGGUGAACUCUUCAAAAACUAUACUAAACAAGGGAAGACUGUGCUAGAUGAAAUAACCAUACAUGCAUUUAUUCACAUGGGAAAUGGAUCAGACAAUGGCUGCCAAUGCUAAGAAUAAAUUCUUGAUGAGUUUCUAAGAAAUCAAGACAACCUUCAAGGUUGGGCCAAGAGCAUGGAUGGGAAAGGCAGAUGUGCAUCUGGUUCUGUUUUCUGACCAUAAUAAUGAGAUCUACAUGAAAGGAUGUCUUGAGAGGAGGGAACAGUGGUAAGAGUGAAGCCAGCAGAGAGAGCUUGGAAAAGAGAAUUCAGACCCAUCUUCAAGUUAACAAAAACAAUUACUGACUCAUACGAAGAAAUCGGGAAAGUCAAUAAAACGGAUGCUUCUAAACCUGUUGAUGAAGUUUUUCUGAAGUUGUGAAAAUUUCCAACAAAAAA